UACGGAGGAUCCGAGCGUUAUCCGGAUUUAUUGGGUUUAAAGGGUGCGUAGGCGGUUUGAUAAGUUAGAGGUGAAAUGUCGGGGCUCAACCCCGAAACUGCCUCUGAUACUGGUUUGCUAGCGAGUAGAUGCUGUAGGCGGAAUGUGUGGUGUAGCGGUGAAAUGCAUAGAGAUCAUACAGAACACCGAUUGCGAAGGCAGCUUACCAAGCUACUUCUGACGUUGAGGCACGAAAGCGUGGGGAGCAAACAGG
This 253-nucleotide ribosomal RNA is filed under the name uncultured Rikenellaceae bacterium. Its description in RNAcentral is "partial 16S ribosomal RNA". It matches the Rfam family "Bacterial small subunit ribosomal RNA", at positions 524 to 776 of the family's 1533-position model. The record is from RNAcentral. Lineage: Bacteria; Pseudomonadati; Bacteroidota; Bacteroidia; Bacteroidales; Rikenellaceae.